GUCUCUCUCAUCUCUUACCUUUAGAGACCAAACAUGAACCCUAAUCAGCCGCCACCCAAUACUCACCGUUUCUGGUGGCGGCGGCGCCUCCAUUCACCCCAAAUUCACACCACCUCUUCUAUUUCCUCUCCUCAUUCCAUAUCUAACUUUGAUUUUCUUCAAAUCAAACCGAGGCCUCUCGAAUAUUGAUUCAAAGAUCAUGCUGAGAAUACAAAUCAUCCAAACGAGCCCAAAUUGCCACCAUAGGAUCUACCCAUCGUCCUCACCUCAGAUCCAUGGCUAUUCUGCUUCAAAUUUCAAUGGUUCGCCCUCACGUCCCCAUCUAGGGUUUUUCAGUCAGCCUCGUCUGGAAUUUUUCUCUUAGGAUAAGUUUUCCUCUAGUUUUAUGACUUUAUUAGUAUACUUAAUAAUCUCUUCUUCCACUACUCCUCUGUUAAUUGGGUCGUAGAGGGAUUUUAGUUGUGAGUUCGUUUCUUUAAUCUUUUGUUUAUUUUCUUGUUCAUCUAGUUUCUUAGCAGUGGGUUCAGGAAAUUGCUGUUUGCACAAUUCAAUUCUCUUCGAUUUGUUUCAAUGAUUAAUUCCGUUUAGUUAGUAUAAUUUGACUCGAUUAGGUUUUGUUCGUUUUAAUUUCAAGCUUCAUUUCGAAUUCAGCAAUGAUUGAUUCUGUAGGAAUUUAUAAGUAAUUUGGUUUCCUUCUUUAAGUUUGAUCAAGUAAUUCUAGGUUUCAGUUUAAAUGUGCUUGUGGUUUCUGCCUUGAAUUUUGUCAAAUUUUUAAUUGAAUUAAAUGGUUUCAGUUUAAAUGUGCUUGUGGUUUCUACCUUGAAUUUUGUCAUAUUUUUUAUUGAAUUAAAAUAGUAUUCUUCUAGUUUUGGGCUUUAAUUCAGUUUUUAGUAAAUGAGGUUUGGGAGUUGUUUGGGAAUUGGUUUCAAUUAUGUUAAUCUUAGUGUUAUUAAAGAAUUUGUUUGGGUAUAGCUGAGAGUUCACUCUUUAGUUAAAUGUAGUCAAGUUUAACAAGGGUAAAUUGGACAAAGGGCAAAGGGGAAAGGGCUGCAGUAAUUUUAAGAGGUUUCAGGGAUAGUUUGGGCAUGAGAAAAGGGUAGAAUCUCUUAAAAUAGUAAAUUUAAAACAGGGGUAACGGUAGUAUAGACUUUGUAUAUCUAAAAGAACCUUCUAAAACAUUCCUAAUGGGGCUUUAGUGUACGUUUUAACAAUUUUGGUAGUAGUUACUUGUGAAACAAGUCCGAAAAUUAGGGGUUAAAGUGAAAAUGAGUAGGGACUAAUAGUGCAAAUUGAAAUUUGGGGAGCUACCCUCAUUUGUGCCUAUAAAAGGGCAUUCCCUUUACUUCAUUCCCAAGUUUGGAGCCUCACAAAAUCCCCUGCCUUUCUCUCAAAGUUUCAGAGUUGAAAUGUAACAUCCAAACUUCUAAUCUUCAAAAAAAAAAAACAAAAAAAGUAGAAAACUUCAAAAACAUAAAAAUAGCACUGUUCAUUGAAAAUUUCGGUUUUAUUUCAAGUUUGGCAGUCAUAUGUACAAAAAGCUCAAAAAAAAUAUACAAAACUAUGAAAUUCAAAAAGAAGGUCACUGUUUCAUUAGAGUUUUAAGCUAAUUUUGAUACUAUAGCUCAUAAUUUCACUCUUUAGUUCUCUUGCUGCUUCGUUGAAAUUUCUAGGUUAUUCACAAUUGAUUUCAAGAAAUUUCUGGUUUCAUUUAGUUUGUUUGGGUGGUUUAUUUGUUGUUGCUGGGUUUUCAACUUCGUUUGAGUUUUGGUUAAGCAUAUUUUCUGGGUUAAACUUGAGUUGGCUGUUGAUUUGACUCUCACUAACUGCUGUUACACCCUCUGAUGUUGAUCCUCAAUUCCUUUUCUAUUAAUUGCAUUUCCAGGUACACUUCAUUAAACCUCCUUGAUGUAUCUUUGAAUUGAAGUUGAAAUGGAAGAGUUCAAUGGUUUAUGUUUAUCAUCUGAUACCUUUUAGCUAAGUAGAUGUUUAAGGAAGUAAAUGUAAUUAGUGUUAAUUCUAUUUUGUAUGUCAUAUGAGAGAUGAAUACUGGACUGUAUAAUUGGAACUGUUUGGACUAGUGUAAAGAUAUUGUCGCCAUGCCUUGGUCGAUUUGAGCGUCUGUUAACUUAAAUGAGUUUCUAUUGGCAUUUACAAGUUCUUGUUAAAACAUUAGGUUGUGAAUAAUUUUAUCCAAUUGCAG
RNAcentral lists this long non-coding RNA (2200 nucleotides) under Nicotiana benthamiana. RNAcentral describes it as "long non-coding RNA (NBEN_LNC020108)". The record is from RNAcentral. Lineage: Eukaryota; Viridiplantae; Streptophyta; Magnoliopsida; Solanales; Solanaceae.